ACUCAGUCAGCAGCCAGACGCCAUGGAGGCCACAGCGCUCUGCAUCACACUGUGGAUGAUGGUGUUUCUGCAGCUCUGUGAACAGAAAGUUGUUUCAGAUGCAGAUGUUUGGAUCGAACCAUCCAGACUUCAAGUCUUUGAAUACGAGCCUUCUCUUUAAGAUGUGUGGGCUUCGAUGGUUUGACUGAUGUGAACAUUUUACGGUGGAGCAAAGCAGGAAAGGAAACUUGUGAUGGCUCAAAAUGGGG
Trematomus bernacchii (emerald rockcod) is the source of this 248-nucleotide long non-coding RNA. RefSeq lists it as uncharacterized. The record is from RefSeq and is a predicted model, not a curated record. The transcript is spliced from 3 exons. Lineage: Eukaryota; Metazoa; Chordata; Actinopteri; Perciformes; Nototheniidae.